UUAAGUUAUUAAGGGCGCACGGUGGAUGCCUUGGCACUAGAAGCCGAUGAAGGACGUUACUAACGACGAUAUGCUUUGGGGAGCUGUAAGUAAGCUUUGAUCCAGAGAUUUCCGAAUGGGGAAACCCAGCAUGAGUUAUGUCAUGUUAUCGAUAUGUGAAUACAUAGCAUAUCAGAAGGCACACCCGGAGAACUGAAACAUCUUAGUACCCGGAGGAAGAGAAAGAAAAUUCGAUUCCCUUAGUAGCGGCGAGCGAAACGGGAAGAGCCCAAACCAACAAGCUUGCUUGUUGGGGUUGUAGGACACUCUAUACGGAGUUACAAAGGACGACAUUAGACGAAUCAUCUGGAAAGAUGAAUCAAAGAAGGUAAUAAUCCUGUAGUCGAAAAUGUUGUCUCUCUUGAGUGGAUCCUGAGUACGACGGAGCACGUGAAAUUCCGUCGGAAUCUGGGAGGACCAUCUCCUAAGGCUAAAUACUCUCUAGUGACCGAUAGUGAACCAGUACCGUGAGGGAAAGGUGAAAAGCACCCCGGAAGGGGAGUGAAAUAGAACCUGAAACCGUGUGCUUACAAGUAGUCAGAGCCCGUUAAUGGGUGAUGGCGUGCCUUUUGUAGAAUGAACCGGCGAGUUACGAUUUGAUGCAAGGUUAAGCAGUAAAUGUGGAGCCGUAGCGAAAGCGAGUCUGAAUAGGGCGUUUAGUAUUUGGUCGUAGACCCGAAACCAGGUGAUCUACCCUUGGUCAGGUUGAAGUUCAGGUAACACUGAAUGGAGGACCGAACCGACUUACGUUGAAAAGUGAGCGGAUGAACUGAGGGUAGCGGAGAAAUUCCAAUCGAACCUGGAGAUAGCUGGUUCUCUCCGAAAUAGCUUUAGGGCUAGCCUCAAGUGAUGAUUAUUGGAGGUAGAGCACUGUUUGGACGAGGGGCCCCUCUCGGGUUACCGAAUUCAGACAAACUCCGAAUGCCAAUUAAUUUAACUUGGGAGUCAGAACAUGGGUGAUAAGGUCCGUGUUCGAAAGGGAAACAGCCCAGACCACCAGCUAAGGUCCCAAAAUAUAUGUUAAGUGGAAAAGGAUGUGGCGUUGCCCAGACAACUAGGAUGUUGGCUUAGAAGCAGCCAUCAUUUAAAGAGUGCGUAAUAGCUCACUAGUCGAGUGACACUGCGCCGAAAAUGUACCGGGGCUAAACAUAUUACCGAAGCUGUGGAUUGUCCUUUGGACAAUGGUAGGAGAGCGUUCUAAGGGCGUUGAAGCAUGAUCGUAAGGACAUGUGGAGCGCUUAGAAGUGAGAAUGCCGGUGUGAGUAGCGAAAGACGGGUGAGAAUCCCGUCCACCGAUUGACUAAGGUUUCCAGAGGAAGGCUCGUCCGCUCUGGGUUAGUCGGGUCCUAAGCUGAGGCCGACAGGCGUAGGCGAUGGAUAACAGGUUGAUAUUCCUGUACCACCUAUAAUCGUUUUAAUCGAUGGGGGGACGCAGUAGGAUAGGCGAAGCGUGCGAUUGGAUUGCACGUCUAAGCAGUAAGGCUGAGUAUUAGGCAAAUCCGGUACUCGUUAAGGCUGAGCUGUGAUGGGGAGAAGACAUUGNNNNNNNNNNGUCUUCGAGUCGUUGAUUUCACACUGCCGAGAAAAGCCUCUAGAUAGAAAAUAGGUGCCCGUACCGCAAACCGACACAGGUAGUCAAGAUGAGAAUUCUAAGGUGAGCGAGCGAACUCUCGUUAAGGAACUCGGCAAAAUGACCCCGUAACUUCGGGAGAAGGGGUGCUCUUUAGGGUUAACGCCCAGAAGAGCCGCAGUGAAUAGGCCCAAGCGACUGUUUAUCAAAAACACAGGUCUCUGCUAAACCGUAAGGUGAUGUAUAGGGGCUGACGCCUGCCCGGUGCUGGAAGGUUAAGAGGAGUGGUUAGCUUCUGCGAAGCUACGAAUCGAAGCCCCAGUAAACGGCGGCCGUAACUAUAACGGUCCUAAGGUAGCGAAAUUCCUUGUCGGGUAAGUUCCGACCCGCACGAAAGGCGUAACGAUUUGGGCACUGUCUCAACGAGAGACUCGGUGAAAUCAUAGUACCUGUGAAGAUGCAGGUUACCCGCGACAGGACGGAAAGACCCCGUGGAGCUUUACUGUAGCCUGAUAUUGAAAUUCGGCACAGCUUGUACAGGAUAGGUAGGAGCCUUUGAAACGUGAGCGCUAGCUUACGUGGAGGCGCUGGUGGGAUACUACCCUAGCUGUGUUGGCUUUCUAACCCGCACCACUUAUCGUGGUGGGAGACAGUGUCAGGCGGGCAGUUUGACUGGGGCGGUCGCCUCCUAAAAGGUAACGGAGGCGCUCAAAGGUUCCCUCAGAAUGGUUGGAAAUCAUUCAUAGAGUGUAAAGGCAUAAGGGAGCUUGACUGCGAGACCUACAAGUCGAGCAGGGUCGAAAGACGGACUUAGUGAUCCGGUGGUUCCGCAUGGAAGGGCCAUCGCUCAACGGAUAAAAGCUACCCCGGGGAUAACAGGCUUAUCUCCCCCAAGAGUUCACAUCGACGGGGAGGUUUGGCACCUCGAUGUCGGCUCAUCGCAUCCUGGGGCUGUAGUCGGUCCCAAGGGUUGGGCUGUUCGCCCAUUAAAGCGGUACGCGAGCUGGGUUCAGAACGUCGUGAGACAGUUCGGUCCCUAUCCGUCGUGGGCGUAGGAAAUUUGAGAGGAGCUGUCCUUAGUACGAGAGGACCGGGAUGGACAUACCUCUGGUGUACCAGUUGUCGUGCCAACGGCAUAGCUGGGUAGCUAUGUGUGGACGGGAUAAGUGCUGAAAGCAUCUAAGCAUGAAGCCCCCCUCAAGAUGAGAUUUCCCAACUUCGGUUAUAAGAUCCCUCAAAGAUGAUGAGGUUAAUAGGUUCGAGGUGGAAGCAUGGUGACAUGUGGAGCUGACGAAUACUAAUCGAUCGAAGACUUAAUCAA
This 2930-nucleotide ribosomal RNA is filed under the name Staphylococcus aureus. RNAcentral's name for it is "23S ribosomal RNA". It matches the Rfam family "Bacterial large subunit ribosomal RNA". Lineage: Bacteria; Bacillati; Bacillota; Bacilli; Caryophanales; Staphylococcaceae. The record is from RNAcentral.